RNAcentral lists this ribosomal RNA (791 nucleotides) under uncultured Pedobacter sp. RNAcentral describes it as "bacterial SSU rRNA". It matches the Rfam family "Bacterial small subunit ribosomal RNA", at positions 8 to 796 of the family's 1533-position model. The record is from RNAcentral. Lineage: Bacteria; Pseudomonadati; Bacteroidota; Sphingobacteriia; Sphingobacteriales; Sphingobacteriaceae.
AGAGUUUGAUCCUGGCUCAGGAUGAACGCUAGCGGCAGGCCUAAUACAUGCAAGUCGAACGAGAUUGGGGAGCUUGCUCCCCAUGAAAGUGGCGCACGGGUGCGUAACGCGUAUGCAACCUACCUUAAUCAGGGGGAUAGCCCGAAGAAAUUCGGAUUAACACCGCAUAAUAUAAUUGAAUGGCAUCAUUUAAUUAUCAAAUAUUUAUAGGAUUAAGAUGGGCAUGCGUGACAUUAGUUAGUUGGUGAGGUAACGGCUCACCAAGACUACGAUGUCUAGGGGAUCUGAGAGGAUGACCCCCCACACUGGUACUGAGACACGGACCAGACUCCUACGGGAGGCAGCAGUAAGGAAUAUUGGUCAAUGGGGGCAACCCUGAACCAGCCAUGCCGCGUGCAGGAAGACGGCCCUACGGGUUGUAAACUGCUUUUAUUCGCGAAUAAACCUUUCUACGUGUAGAGAGCUGAAUGUACCGAAGGAAUAAGGAUCGGCUAACUCCGUGCCAGCAGCCGCGGUAAUACGGAGGAUCCAAGCGUUAUCCGGAUUUAUUGGGUUUAAAGGGUGCGUAGGCGGCUUAUUAAGUCAGGGGUGAAAGACGGUGGCUCAACCAUCGCAGUGCCUUUGAUACUGAUGAGCUUGAAUACACUUGAGGUAGGCGGAAUGUGACAAGUAGCGGUGAAAUGCAUAGAUAUGUCACAGAACACCAAUUGCGAAGGCAGCUUACUAAAGUGUUAUUGACGCUGAGGCACGAAAGCGUGGGGAUCAAACAGGAUUAGAUACCCCCGUAGUCC